CUAUUGGCUGUCCUGCCUGAGACGGGGUAGUUGGAGGGUCAUUAGCGGCAUAUUCAAAACACAGUGUUGGUCUUGGGGACGAAGCAAGUAUAGCAUUAUGAUAAAGUAUUGUGGCGAAAAGGGUAAACGCGAGUUAACGAUUCGGAUACGUAAACAGAUGAAGAAGGGAAGGAAAAUGAAAGGGAGAGAAGAAAAGACAAUGCAAAAUUGGUUGAGAUAACGAGACAAAGGGAUUGGUGCGGUCGAUGAAGUUCUUACUGCUGUUGGCUUUGGCUGCUGUGGCUGCUGGGAUAAUUUCCUUGGUGGACAUAGGGUUUUCCGUCCCGUUGGGCAUGGGCGGUUCC
Penaeus monodon (black tiger shrimp) is the source of this 344-nucleotide long non-coding RNA. RefSeq lists it as uncharacterized. The record is from RefSeq and is a predicted model, not a curated record. The transcript has 3 exons. NCBI's taxonomy places the organism in Eukaryota, Metazoa, Arthropoda, Malacostraca, Decapoda, Penaeidae.